AUUGAACGCUGGCGGCAGGCCUAACACAUGAAAGUCGAGCGGAGCGGCGGACGGGUGAGUAAUGCCUAGGAAUCUGCCUGGUAGUGGGGGAUAACUUACGGAAACGGGCGCUAAUACCGCAUCCUAUCAGAUGAGCCUAGGUCGGAUUAGCUAGUUGGGGGGGUAAAGGCCUACCAAGUCGACGAUCCGUAACUGGUCUGAGAGUAUGAUCAGUCACACUGGAACUGAGAAAAGGUCCAGAAUCCUACGGGAGGCAGCAGGGGGGAAUAUUGGACAAUGGGCGAAAGCCUGAGCCAGCCAUGCCGCGUGUGUGAAGAAGGUCUUCUGAUUGUAAAGCACUUUAAGUUGGGAGGCGGUACCAACAGAAUAAGCACCGGCUAACUUCGUGCCAGCAGCCGCGGUAAUUC
RNAcentral lists this ribosomal RNA (407 nucleotides) under uncultured bacterium. RNAcentral describes it as "partial 16S ribosomal RNA". It matches the Rfam family "Bacterial small subunit ribosomal RNA", at positions 30 to 526 of the family's 1533-position model. The record is from RNAcentral.